This 228-nucleotide ribosomal RNA is filed under the name uncultured bacterium. RNAcentral describes it as "partial 16S ribosomal RNA". It matches the Rfam family "Bacterial small subunit ribosomal RNA", at positions 939 to 1170 of the family's 1533-position model. The record is from RNAcentral.
AUGCGGAUUAUUCGAUGCAACGCGAAGAACCUUACCAAGGCUUGACAUGCACAGGAAAGUUCCAGAGAUGGUUCCCCCGCAAGGUCUGUGCACAGGUGGUGCAUGGUUGUCGUCAGCUCGUGUCGUGAGAUGUUGGGUUAAGUCCCGCAACGAGCGCAACCCUUGUCUUAUGUUGCCAGCACGUAAUGGUGGGGACUCAUAAGAGACUGCCGGGGUCAACUCGGAGGA